UGAUGCUUAGCUCAGUGGUCAGAGCAGGUGCCUUAUACGCACAAGGUCAUCGGUUCAAACCCGAUAGCAUCAACCA
This 76-nucleotide transfer RNA is filed under the name Chitinophagaceae bacterium. RNAcentral describes it as "tRNA-Ile". It matches the Rfam family "tRNA". Rfam says of the family: Transfer RNA (tRNA) molecules are approximately 80 nucleotides in length. Lineage: Bacteria; Pseudomonadati; Bacteroidota; Chitinophagia; Chitinophagales; Chitinophagaceae. The record is from RNAcentral.